CCUACGGGCGGCAGCAGUGAGGAAUAUUGGUCAAUGGGCGCGAGCCUGAACCAGCCAAGUCGCGUGAAGGAUGACUGCCCUACGGGUUGUAAACUUCUUUUAUCAAGGAAUAAAGUGAGGCACGUGUGCCUUUUUGUAUGUUCUUUAUGAAUAAGGCUCGGCUAAAUCCGUGCCCGCCGCCGCCGUUAUACGGAGGGUCCGCGCGUUAGCCGGAUUUAUUGGGUUUAAAGGGAGCGUAGAUGGGUCGUUAAUUCAGUUGUGAAAGUUUGCGGCUCAACCGUAAUAUGGCAAUUGAUACUGGGAGUCUUGAGUACAGUUGAGGAAGGCGGAAUGCGUGGUGUAGCGGUGAAAUGCUUAGAUAUCACGAAGAACGCCGAUUGCGAAGGCAGCUUACUAAACUGCCACUGACAUUGAUGCUCGAAAGUGUGGGUAUCAAACAGGAUUAGAUACCCUUGUAGUC
Molecule: ribosomal RNA, 460 nt
Filed under: uncultured bacterium
Lineage: Bacteria
Description: partial 16S ribosomal RNA
Rfam family: Bacterial small subunit ribosomal RNA
Source: RNAcentral